Molecule: transfer RNA, 77 nt
Filed under: Sulfurimonadaceae bacterium
Lineage: Bacteria; Pseudomonadati; Campylobacterota; Epsilonproteobacteria; Campylobacterales; Sulfurimonadaceae
Description: tRNA-Arg
Rfam family: tRNA
About the family: Transfer RNA (tRNA) molecules are approximately 80 nucleotides in length. Their secondary structure includes four short double-helical elements and three loops (D, anti-codon, and T loops).
Source: RNAcentral
GCGCUCGUGGCUCAACUGGAUAGAGUAUCGGACUUCGAAUCCGGCGGUUAUAGGUUCGAAUCCUAUCGGGCGCACCA